Molecule: ribosomal RNA, 256 nt
Filed under: uncultured bacterium
Lineage: Bacteria
Description: partial 16S ribosomal RNA
Rfam family: Bacterial small subunit ribosomal RNA
Source: RNAcentral
GUCCUAGCCUAACGAUGGAUGCUUGGUGUAGCGGUACCCAAUCCCGCUGUGCCGGAGCUAACGCGUUAAGCAUCCCGCCUGGGAGUACGGUCGCAAGGCUGAACUCAAAGGAAUUGACGGGCCCGCACAAGCGGUGGAGCAUGUGGUUCAAUUCGACGCAACGCGAAGAACCUUACCUGGGCUCGAAGCGCAGUGGAUAGGAGUGGAAACACUCUUUCCCGCAAGGGCUGCUGCGUAGGUGCUGCAUGGCUGUCGU